AGUGAACGCUGGCGGUAGGCCUAACACAUGCAAGUCGAACGGCAGCACAGUAAGAGCUUGCUCUUACGGGUGGCGAGUGGCGGACGGGUGAGGAAUACAUCGGAAUCUACUUUUUCGUGGGGGAUAACGUAGGGAAACUUACGCUAAUACCGCAUACGACCUACGGGUGAAAGCAGGGGAUCUUCGGACCUUGCGCGAUUGAAUGAGCCGAUGUCGGAUUAGCUAGUUGGCGGGGUAAAGGCCCACCAAGGCGACGAUCCGUAGCUGGUCUGAGAGGAUGACCGCCCACACGGGAACUGGGAACGGUUCCAGGCCCCGACGGGGGGCAGAAGUGGGGAAUUUGGGAAAAGGGGGGCAAGCCUGAUCCAGCCAUACCGGGGGGGUGAAGAAGGCCUUCGGGUUGUAAAGCCCUUUUGUUGGGAAAAAAAAGCAGCAGGUUAAUACCCCGCUGUUCUGACGGUACCAAAAGAAUAAGCCCCGGCUAACUUCGG
This 491-nucleotide ribosomal RNA is filed under the name uncultured bacterium. RNAcentral describes it as "partial 16S ribosomal RNA". It matches the Rfam family "Bacterial small subunit ribosomal RNA", at positions 29 to 506 of the family's 1533-position model. The record is from RNAcentral.